ACUCCUACGGGAGGCAGCAGUGGGAAUAUUGCACAAUGGGCGCAAGCCUGAUGCAGCCAUGCCGCGUGUAUGAAGAAGGCCUUCGGGUUGUAAAGUACUUUCAGCAGUGAGGAAGGUGGGUGUGUUAAUAGCGCAUACUCAUUGACGUUAGCUGCAGAAGAAGCACCGGCUAACUCCGUGCCAGCAGCCGCGGUAAUACGGAGGGUGCGAGCGUUAAUCGGAAUUACUGGGCGUAAAGCGCAUGCAGGUGGUUUGUUAAGUCAGAUGUGAAAGCCCGGGGCUCAACCUCGGAAUUGC
RNAcentral lists this ribosomal RNA (297 nucleotides) under uncultured bacterium. RNAcentral's name for it is "partial 16S ribosomal RNA". It matches the Rfam family "Bacterial small subunit ribosomal RNA", at positions 335 to 624 of the family's 1533-position model. The record is from RNAcentral.